Molecule: ribosomal RNA, 477 nt
Filed under: Flectobacillus sp. BAL49
Lineage: Bacteria; Pseudomonadati; Bacteroidota; Cytophagia; Cytophagales; Flectobacillaceae
Description: bacterial SSU rRNA
Rfam family: Bacterial small subunit ribosomal RNA
Source: RNAcentral
GCUCAGGAUGAACGCUAGCGGCAGGCCUAAUACAUGCAAGUCGGACGGUAGAUUAACUUUCGGGUAAUUGAGAGUGGCGAACGGGUGCGUAACGCGUAUGCAACCUACCCUAUACAGGGGGAUAGCCCGGAGAAAUCUGGAUUAAUACCCCAUGGUACCAAGUUGAGGCAUUUUGAUUUGGUUAAAGAUUCAUCGGUAUAGGAUGGGCAUGCGUCUGAUUAGCUAGUUGGCGGUGUAACGGACCACCAAGGCUACGAUCAGUAGGGGUUCUGAGAGGAAGGUCCCCCACACUGGCACUGAGAUACGGGCCAGACUCCUACGGGAGGCAGCAGUAGGGAAUAUUGGGCAAUGGACGAGAGUCUGACCCAGCCAUGCCGCGUGCAGGAAGACGGCGUUCUGCGUUGUAAACUGCUUUUAUCUGGGAAGAAAAAGCCCCUGCGGGGGAAAUUGCCGGUACCAGAUGAAUAAGCACCGGCU